This 466-nucleotide ribosomal RNA is filed under the name uncultured bacterium. RNAcentral describes it as "bacterial SSU rRNA". It matches the Rfam family "Bacterial small subunit ribosomal RNA", at positions 21 to 507 of the family's 1533-position model. The record is from RNAcentral.
GGCUCAGAUUGAACGCUGGCGGCAUGCCUUACACAUGCAAGUCGAACGGCAGCACGGGAGCAAUCCUGGUGGCGAGUGGCGAACGGGUGAGUAAUAUAUCGGAACGUGCCCAGUCGUGGGGGAUAACGUAGCGAAAGCUACGCUAAUACCGCAUACGAUCUAUGGAUGAAAGCGGGGGAUCGCAAGACCUCGCGCGAUUGGAGCGGCCGAUAUCAGAUUAGGUAGUUGGUGAGGUAAAAGCUCACCAAGGCGACGAUCCUUAGCUGGUCUGAGAGGAUGAUCAGCCACACUGGGACUGAGACACGGCCCAGACUCCUACGGGAGGCAGCAGUGGGGAAUAUUGGACAAUGGGCGAAAGCCUGAUCCAGCAAUGCCGCGUGAGUGAUGAAGGCCUUAGGGUUGUAAAGCUCUUUUACCCGAGAUGAUAAUGACAGUAUCGGGAGAAUAAGCUCCGGCUAACUCCGUG